Long non-coding RNA from Brienomyrus brachyistius, 1985 nucleotides. RefSeq lists it as uncharacterized. The transcript is spliced from 3 exons. The record is from RefSeq and is a predicted model, not a curated record. NCBI's taxonomy places the organism in Eukaryota, Metazoa, Chordata, Actinopteri, Osteoglossiformes, Mormyridae.
GACAUAUGUUGCCGGAACGUUUCGGAUCGGCACACACCCCAUCAAACACUGCUGAGUCCAGCAUCAAGGCGCAGCACAUGGGGGGCUGAGCCUAACCCAGGCAGUACAGGGCGCCAGGCUGUGGACGCUCUGAAAGGAUGGCAGUGAAUCACUGGGCUCAAACACGUAAGAAGGUAGGAAAAAGGACUGUGUGAUGGAGAAAAAGGAAUCAAAUGCCAACGUUCUGGAUGUCCUGUUGUACUUAUAUUCCGGCUCGGUCUGGUUCCGAAAGUUUAACAGCUCAGAGGAAACAAUCUUAUUCCAAGCCACCCCAGGCCCCAGCAGGUCCCAACAGUCACUACUGCACUUCAGGGACCCACUCCAGCUGCACUUACCUCCUUCAACCAACCAGUGGUCCCAAACGACACCACAAAGCAACGUGGUCAAGAGGCACUCAGACGUGAGGCUAGCCAUCUCUCUGCCUGUUCAGCCUCGAGCCACUUCUAACUUCAGACAGUUCGACUGAAUUCCCAGAAUGCCUCAGCGAGAGAACUGUGCAUUUUGAUUCACAGCCUAAUGGCUGACGUCACAUUUCUAGCCGAGAAAACAAUUAUGGAAAACAAAACAACACGAGGACGAAGGCACAGCAUGCUUCCCCCUGCCGGGACAGCUCGGCGAACGGGAGGCAGCCUGCGGGCACUGGGAGUACAGAGCAGGCAGCGUUCUGUAGAUAUGUUAUCAUAUUAAAGCAUUCAGAAAGGGCAGUCACAUGCCCAGCCACGUUAACAGAGACUCUGUUUCAUGGUGACUAUGUACCUAUUGACUCGAUGUGGCCCAGUGUCAACACCUAUUGGCACAAUUACAAGUACGGAUCUGAUGAAGCUGAUGUCAAAGCUUCUUCGGGCUGUUUUCCAGUGGACCAGGUACUGUAUCACUGGUACCGUGUAGGGCGCUUUCAGAAAGCUGCAGUGUGUUGGUUUUAACUGCUGCAAAAAUUGGUACCAGCUACGAAUGAUAUCACAAUGCGCUUGUAUCACGUUUAUCACGUUUGUAUUGUGUUGUACUGAGUUCAUGUAAAUGCUGUAUAUUAAUAUACUAAUAUUAUCCUUAUUAUUAUUAUUAUUAUCAUUAUUAUUAAUAUUAUUAUUAUUACAAUGCGGGUAUUUUGUACUGGAUUCUAAAAAUGGCUGCAGUAUAUUAUAGGGCUGGACGAUGCGAUAUUCAUACCAACAUCGCAUGUUAUGUAUGUGCAAUUCUUACGUUGCUAGUCAGCUAGAUUAAGAUUAAGGCUUUUUCUUACUUUCAAUUCUGUACGGACAUUAUAGCACAGCGAGUUUAGGUUUUGCUAUAACAUUUUUACUCUGUCAUAGAAAAAAAUCCUUAGCUAGCUUUGCGAUUUUAAUUAUUGUUCCUUUUAUAGACUAAUAUAUGUUUAAAAAUCAGAUUAAAGUUCACCUAAAGGUUACCGGUUCUUUUGCAUGGGUGCUGCAUGCGUUCUCCGGCACGAGCAUAAUCAUUUUCAUCCUUGCUGCUUUAAAGCACUCCUAGGCGGGUUUGUGAGAAAUUUACAAACUCCUUUUUGCUUUAUAAAUAUUCCAAUAUUUAUUACAAUAAAAUGAUAUCCCUAUACUUAUAAUAAAAUCACAGGCUAUGUGCAUGGCCGACUGACAAGGAAAGCGUUUCAAGUACCAAAAGUUCUGAAGGACCAAAGAAAUACCCCAGCUGGUUUGGGACUUUUGGUACUGGUGCUCGACCAGAAGUCAAUGGGAGAGUGAAAGCAGCAAAGGCACCGUACUAAAAGUGCGGUACUUGGUGCGGUGGAAAAGCACGCUUGGGCUAUACUUUCCUCUUGCAAUACCCAUCCCAGCCAGGAGGAGGCCUCAGGACACACAAAAGCCUCCAAAAGCUCAGUGGCUCAAGCCCCAGUUACUGUCGUUGUGCCUUUCAAUAACAUACUGAAGCAGAACACGAACGAGGUGCGGAUAAGGAUGCACCUCCUACCUUGA